AGCAGCCGCGGUAAUUCCAGCUCCAAUAGCGUAUAUUAAAGUUGUUGCAGUUAAAAAGCUCGUAGUUGAAUUUCGGAAUUUGUUAAUUGGUCGGGCUUCACUGUCCGUACUGAUUUAAUGAAUUCCUACCUUCUGAAUAACCAGCAUGCUAUUAAGUUAGUGCGUUGGGGAAGCAGAUCUAUUACCUUGAAAAAAUUGAGUGCUUAAAGCAGGCUAGUGCUUGAAUAGAUUAGCAUGGAAUAAUAAAAUAGGACGGCAUGGUUCUAUUUUGUUGGUUUCUAGGAUCACCGGUAAUGAUUAAUAGGGAUAGUUGGGGGCAUUAGUAUUCAAUUGUCAGAGGUGAAAUUCUUGGAUUUAUUGAAGACUAACUUCUGCGGAAGCAUUUGCCAAGGAUGUUUUCAUUAAUCAAGAACGAAAGUUAGGGGAUCGAAGACGAUCAGAUACCGUCGUAGUCUUAACCAUAAACUAUGCCGUACUAGGAAUCGGACGAUGUUAAUUUUUUAAUGACUCGUUCGGCACCUUAAC
RNAcentral lists this ribosomal RNA (525 nucleotides) under uncultured fungus. Its description in RNAcentral is "SSU rRNA". It matches the Rfam family "Eukaryotic small subunit ribosomal RNA", at positions 569 to 1092 of the family's 1831-position model. The record is from RNAcentral. Lineage: Eukaryota; Fungi.